GAUGAACGCUGACAGAAUGCUUAACACAUGCAAGUCCACUUGAACUUCGGUUUGGGUGGCGGACGGGUGAGUAACGCGUAAGGAACUUGCCUCACAGCUAGGGACAACAUUUGGAAACGAAUGCUAAUACCUGAUAUUAUGAUUAUAUGGCAUCGUAUAAUUAUGAAAGCUAUAUGCGCUGUGAGAGAGCUUUGCGUCCCAUUAGCUAGUUGGAGAGGUAACAGCUCACCAAGGCGAUGAUGGGUAGCCGGCCUGAGAGGGUGAUCGGCCACAAGGGGACUGAGACACGGCCCUUACUCCUACGGGAGGCAGCAGUGGGGAAUAUUGGACAAUGGACCGAGAGUCUGAUCCAGCAAUUCUGUGUGAACGAUGAAGUUUUUCGGAAUGUAAAGUGCUUUCAGUUGGGAAGAAAAAAAUGACGGUACCAACAGAAGAAGUGACGGCUAAAUACGUG
This 454-nucleotide ribosomal RNA is filed under the name uncultured bacterium. Its description in RNAcentral is "partial 16S ribosomal RNA". It matches the Rfam family "Bacterial small subunit ribosomal RNA", at positions 28 to 507 of the family's 1533-position model. The record is from RNAcentral.